Molecule: small RNA, 27 nt
Filed under: Bombyx mori (domestic silkworm)
Lineage: Eukaryota; Metazoa; Arthropoda; Insecta; Lepidoptera; Bombycidae
Description: ovarian small RNA-20593
Source: RNAcentral
UACCAUAAGGUGGGUACAUAAGUAGGU